Molecule: long non-coding RNA, 204 nt
Filed under: Elaeis guineensis (African oil palm)
Lineage: Eukaryota; Viridiplantae; Streptophyta; Magnoliopsida; Arecales; Arecaceae
Description: long non-coding RNA (EGUI_LNC066713)
Source: RNAcentral
UCAACUUCUUACUUUCUAUUAGACCCUGCAUUGAGGUACAUAUAUGAGCACUCAAAUCAGAGUCCAAUAUCCAACUAGAAGUAGAAGAAAUUGUAAGGUUAGAUUCAAUUACGAAUAUACCUUUUGAAGGUUUAUCACCCUUCUUGAUCUUUAGGCUCUCCAGAUAGAGUGGAUAAUUUCUCCUCCAGUGGCUUUCAGCAUCAC